GCGGCUGUAGCUCAGUUGGUAGAGCACGACCUUGCCAAGGUCGUUGUCGUCAGUUCGAAUCUGAUCAGCCGCUCC
This 75-nucleotide transfer RNA is filed under the name Planctomycetota bacterium. Its description in RNAcentral is "Planctomycetes bacterium tRNA-Gly". It matches the Rfam family "tRNA". From Rfam's summary of the family: Transfer RNA (tRNA) molecules are approximately 80 nucleotides in length. Their secondary structure includes four short double-helical elements and three loops (D, anti-codon, and T loops). Further hydrogen bonds mediate the characteristic L-shaped molecular structure. tRNAs have two regions of fundamental functional importance: the anti-codon, which is responsible for specific mRNA codon recognition, and the 3' end, to which the tRNAs corresponding amino acid is attached (by aminoacyl-tRNA synthetases). tRNAs cope with the degeneracy of the genetic code in two manners: having more than one tRNA (with a specific anti-codon) for a particular amino acid; and 'wobble' base-pairing, i.e. permitting non-standard base-pairing at the 3rd anti-codon position. Lineage: Bacteria; Pseudomonadati; Planctomycetota. The record is from RNAcentral.